This is a non-coding RNA of Leptonychotes weddellii (Weddell seal), 1005 nucleotides long. NCBI's taxonomy places the organism in Eukaryota, Metazoa, Chordata, Mammalia, Carnivora, Phocidae. The record is from RefSeq and is a predicted model, not a curated record.
CACUUCAUAAUCCCCCAAAACCCUUCUGGUGACACCUUAGCAACAACAGCCACUGGAUAGAAUUUAUGUGAUCACAAGAAUGCAGUCUGCUUGCGGCCCACGAAGACUCAAAGGUGAAGUAUUUAUCACACGUUGAGAUGGAAGAACUGCAUGUGCAUAGAAACAGAGCCUGUGAGGAAACAAGGAAGGACUAAUCUGAGCCUUCUCCACAGAACUGAAUAAGGCUAUUUCAGAAGGAAACCAUUCCUCCUGGGUCUGUUUUAAAGCAUGGCCAGAAUCUCCAAAACUUGCCCUCAUCAAGAGAGGAGGAAUAAACACUCACAAGUCCAGAGUCACUGUGUCAAGAGUCCAACAACCCUGCAGCCACCAUGCUUGGAACACAGAGAGGUUCUAUCUUGGGGAAACUGCGGACAGAGCUACAUCCUCACUUGCAACUGGUGGCCUGAAGCAGAAAUGAAGUGUCAACCCCAGCCUGACAGACCACACUCGAGAGAUCAGUUCCAAGUUUGUUUGAUAUUGACCCCUGGGUUAACUAGAAACUCACAGAGCCCAAGGUUUGAUGGCAGCUGAUUCCACUGUCACACAAGGAUUUCCAGAAGAGCUACCUGAAAUGACGGACCACAAUGCUAAGGCUACUGGCUGAGAAGUUUCUGAGGAAUCUGCUUAGGAAACUGACUACAUCUCACAAAUGCCAGAUUAGUAUUUGUCUUCCUUUCUCAGAUGUCCUGAAGGUGGAGUUCUUAGUUGCAUGUCAGAAAUAGGAGGAAGGGAAUCGGGUGUGGGGGGGGAACACCACAGGAACUUGGCCUCCCUGCAGGGUCCAGCUCUUCUUGGCCAUUUCAGUUCCUUUUACUCCUGAGUAUUAUUUUUAUCCUUCUUAAGUUCUCCUCCAUGAAAUUGAACGAGUUAGAACCAGGUCUUCUUUUUAUAACCACAUGUACCUGGCUUUUCUGUGAUUUUUAUUUUUUUUAAGAUUUAUUUGAGAGGGGGAGGAGGCCAGAGGAA